RNAcentral lists this ribosomal RNA (503 nucleotides) under uncultured Actinomycetes bacterium. RNAcentral's name for it is "bacterial SSU rRNA". It matches the Rfam family "Bacterial small subunit ribosomal RNA", at positions 999 to 1503 of the family's 1533-position model. Lineage: Bacteria; Bacillati; Actinomycetota; Actinomycetes. The record is from RNAcentral.
CGUGGAACACGGUCUUCCUUCGAGACAGUUACACAGGUGGUGCAUGGCUGUUGUCAGCUCGUGUCGUGAGAUGUUGGGUUAAGUCCCGCAACGAGCGCAACCCCUGUUCCAUGUUGCCAGCAUUAAGUUGGGGACUCAUGGGAGACUGCCGGUGACAAACCGGAGGAAGGUGGGGAUGACGUCAAGUCAUCAUGCCCCUUAUGUCCAGGGCUACACACGUGCUACAUUGGCCGGUACAGAGGGUUGCGAUACCGCGAGGUGGAGCGAAUCCCAAAAAGCCGGUCUCGGUUCGGAUUGGAGGCUGAAAUUCGCCUCCAUGAAGGUGGAGUUGCUAGUAAUCGCGGAUCAGCAACGCCGCGGUGAAUACGUUCCCGGGCCUUGUACACACCGCCCGUCACACCACGAAAGCGGGCAACACCUGAAGCCGGUGUCCUAACCCUUUUGGGAGGGAGCCGUCGAAGGUGGGGCUCGUGAUUGGGGUGAAGUCGUAACAAGGUAGCCGU